This 227-nucleotide long non-coding RNA is filed under the name Setaria italica (foxtail millet). RNAcentral's name for it is "long non-coding RNA (SITA_LNC003039)". The record is from RNAcentral. Lineage: Eukaryota; Viridiplantae; Streptophyta; Magnoliopsida; Poales; Poaceae.
UCCUUGCCAUCUUGUCGUGAGACGCAGUUCAUGAGUACUCCAGAUGAUGCGCCUCAGUGUAGAGCUUAUUCCCAACUAGAACAUAGUUCUUGCCGCGUCAUGAGACUUGCUCUGCCUCUAUCUUGUCUAGAGGUAACUUGUGCUCCUUUAUGUAAUUGAUGAAGGUGGUUCUCUAGUCAUCGAUCAUCAUAACCUCCCGGUCUGGUGCAUCAUGACCUCGAUUGGUG